Molecule: ribosomal RNA, 168 nt
Filed under: Bacillus sp. NC101
Lineage: Bacteria; Bacillati; Bacillota; Bacilli; Caryophanales; Bacillaceae
Description: partial 16S ribosomal RNA
Rfam family: Bacterial small subunit ribosomal RNA
Source: RNAcentral
GGCAGCAGUAGGGAAUCUUCCACAAUGGGCGAAAGCCUGAUGGAGCAACCGCCGCGUGAGUGAAGAAGAGUUUUCGGAUCGUAAAACUCCUGUUGUAAGGGAAGAACAAGUAUCAGUAGUAACCUGGCUGUACCCUUGACCGGUACCUAUAAAACCCGAUUCGCCCCC